RNAcentral lists this ribosomal RNA (253 nucleotides) under uncultured bacterium. Its description in RNAcentral is "partial 16S ribosomal RNA". It matches the Rfam family "Bacterial small subunit ribosomal RNA", at positions 524 to 776 of the family's 1533-position model. The record is from RNAcentral.
GCCGAACCGUGCGAACGUUGUUCGGAAUCACUGGGCUUAAAGGGCGCGUAGGCGGGCGAUCAAGUCCGGGGUGAAAUCCUCCAGCUCAACUGGAGAACUGCCUUGGAUACUGGUCGUCUCGAGUGAGGUAGGGGCAUGCGGAACUGGUGGUGGAGCGGUGAAAUGCGUUGAUAUCAUCAGGAACUCCGGUGGCGAAGGCGGCAUGCUGGACCUCAACUGACGCUGAGGCGCGAAAGCUAGGGGCGCCAACGGG